AGUGAACGCUGGCGGUAGGCCUAACACAUGCAAGUCGAACGGCAGCGCAGUAAGAGCUUGCUCUUACGGGUGGCGAGUGGCGGACGGGUGAGGAAUACAUCGGAAUCUACUUUUUCGUGGGGGAUAACGUAGGGAAACUUACGCUAAUACCGCAUACGACCUACGGGUGAAAGCAGGGGAUCUUCGGACCUUGCGCGAUUGAAUGAGCCGAUGUCGGAUUAGCUAGUUGGCGGGGUAAAGGCCCACCAAGGCGACGAUCCGUAGCUGGUCUGAGAGGAUGAUCAGCACACUUGGAACUGAGCACAGGCCCGGCCUCCUAGGGGAGGAAGAAGUGGGGAAUAUUGACAAAGGGGCGCAAGCCUGAUCCAGCCAUCCGGGGUGGUUGAAGAAGGCUUUCGGUUUGUAAAGCCUUUUUGUUGGGAAAGAAAACAAGAAGGUUAAUACCCGGUUGUCUGGCCGGAACCAAAAGAAUAAGAACGGGCUACUUCGUU
Molecule: ribosomal RNA, 491 nt
Filed under: uncultured bacterium
Lineage: Bacteria
Description: partial 16S ribosomal RNA
Rfam family: Bacterial small subunit ribosomal RNA
Source: RNAcentral